This 849-nucleotide ribosomal RNA is filed under the name uncultured Bacillota bacterium. Its description in RNAcentral is "bacterial SSU rRNA". It matches the Rfam family "Bacterial small subunit ribosomal RNA", at positions 55 to 882 of the family's 1533-position model. Lineage: Bacteria; Bacillati; Bacillota. The record is from RNAcentral.
AUGCAAGUCGAAUGCGAAAGGGGAGCAAUCCCUGAUUAGAGUGGCAAACGGGUGAGUAACACGUGGGUGACCUGCCUUCGAGUGGGGGAUAACCUUCCGAAAGGAGGGCUAAUACCGCAUGACAUACCGUGUUUGGAUACACGGAUAUCAAAGCCGGGGAUCGCAAGACCUGGCGCUUGAAGAGGGGCCCGCGCCCGAUUAGCUAGUUGGUGGGGUAACGGCUCACCAAGGCUCCGAUCGGUAUCCGGCCUGAGAGGGCGGACGGACACACUGGAACUGAGACACGGUCCAGACUCCUACGGGAGGCAGCAGUGGGGAAUUGUUCGCAAUGGGCGAAAGCCUGACGACGCAACGCCGCGUGGAGGAUGAAGAAUUUCGGUUCGUAAACUCCUUUCGACCGAGAUGAAUAUCCCGAGAUCUAAUAAGUUUCGGGACUGACAGUAUCGAGAGAAGAAGCCCCGGCUAACUCUGUGCCAGCAGCCGCGGUAAUACAGGGGGGGCAAGCGUUGUUCGGAAUUACUGGGCGUAAAGGGUUCGUAGGUGGCCACUUAAGUCAGACGUGAAAUCCCUCAGCUUAACUGGGGAACUGCGUCUGAUACUGGGUGGCUUGAGUGCAGGAGAGGAAUGCGGAAUUCCAGGUGUAGCGGUGAAAUGCGUAGAUAUCUGGAGGAACACCGGUGGCGAAGGCGGCAUUCUGGACUGUAACUGACACUGAGGAACGAAAGCCAGGGGAGCAAACGGGAUUAGAUACCCCGGUAGUCCUGGCCCUAAACGAUGAAUGCUUGGUGUGGCGGGUAUCGAUCCCUGCCGUGCCGAAGUUAACGCGAUAAGCAUUCCGCCUGGGGAGUA